RNAcentral lists this long non-coding RNA (651 nucleotides) under Ananas comosus (pineapple). RNAcentral describes it as "long non-coding RNA (ACOM_LNC022455)". The record is from RNAcentral. Lineage: Eukaryota; Viridiplantae; Streptophyta; Magnoliopsida; Poales; Bromeliaceae.
GUAUACAUGUUGACAUCAUGCAUUAUAGGAUAUGUGGUUAAAUGUAUUUCAAUUCUUUGCAUACUUUCUUGGUAGAAAUAAAAAUCAUGAGUUGGACACAUGAUUAGUGGACGCAUGAGGAUUGGGUCUUGACAUGAAAUCCUAUAGUGCCGAGAACAAUUGUGAACUUAAACAAUGUAGUGACGUAGAGGGUGGCAUUUGGAACUAGUGUAUAGAUGACACUCAUGACAUGGAUAUUGGGAUUUGUAGAUUCCCGAGUGUGUGGUUAUCCCUAGUUGGUAGGGUAUCCUCGAGCUUAGAGAAUUGAAUCGUACUCACUUAGUCUGUUUUAGCUUGGCGGUGGUCGCUCCACCCAAGCAGUGGGUUCCGGAGUCGUCACACAUUGGGUUAACGUACCUAUCUAGCAGACGGUCUCGGAUGAGUGUAGCGCAGAGUCUUCUCACAUAUGGGAUUUGGUUGUGAGUUGGGCUUAACCUUAGGGUUAGUCAGUGUGAUUGGGUUACAAACAGAUGAAUGACAUGCAUCAUGAAUAUAGUGGUUACUUUAUUCAUACCAUGUUGUUGAGGCAUAGUAGCAUGUUCGCAUUUCAUAUCCCUAUAUUUAUCUCUCUACUUAUGCCUACUUAGACCUAGUGGAAAAAUCGGCGGGGUC